RNAcentral lists this unclassified non-coding RNA (1709 nucleotides) under Hevea brasiliensis (rubber tree). The record is from RNAcentral. Lineage: Eukaryota; Viridiplantae; Streptophyta; Magnoliopsida; Malpighiales; Euphorbiaceae.
CUUAAAAUAAAAAUAAAUAGAUUAAACUUUUUUUUAUUUUAAACAAAGAAUGAUAGACUAAUAAAAAAUAGUAUUAUAUUAAGAUAGUGAAAAAAACCACUUAAUUGUGAAUUUGUGGUUUAUAUAUACUUACUAAUUGGGUUCAUAUUUACUGAAAAACAAGUUCAAUAUACUAUAUAAAUAUUUAUUUUAAAUAUGAUUUAAAAGUUCCUAAUUAAAAAGUUUGGAGGGUGCGCACCCCACGCUUGUGGGGAGCAGGGGGGCUUGGGAGGGCCAUGGCCCCCUCUAGUCUCCAAGUAGUUCCACCUCUGUAUAUCCAGCCAAGUUGGUUAAACCAACCAUUCAAAUCUGUUCAAUUACUCCUCCCCACUUUUCUGCAGUUGAUUUUACUUGCUAAUAACUUGUAUUGCCUUGUCUUCCUUUAUUGAUAUCUCAAACAUCAUUAUCCCAUUCCCAUCACCGUUAUGACCCCAAAUAUAAAACAACCAAACAUUUUCCAACAUCGAUAAUUUUUAUGAACCAUGAACUUCGAGACUUACUCUGGAACUUCUUUAGAAUCACAAUUUGAAUACCCCAACCUAAUCUCCACCUCUUCAUUGCUACCAAAACUUGACUAUUAAUACUGAAAAGAAACUUAAUAUAUUUAAAUAUGAUGGCAAAUGAGUUUUGGUAGAUUUUUGGAUGGAGAAGCAAGCAUCUAAAACUUAGUAAAGGAAAAAGUUAAACAGCAGGAUCAAGAACAACAACACUGGCAUACAUAAGAGGUAAGAAAACUUUAUGAUAUCUGAGUAUUUGUACAAAGUGGCAAUGUGCAUAACAAAAGAGCAAAUAAAGCACCCAAAAAGAAGCAGCAUGAUUCCUGAACAUUCAGAGAAAUAAAGUUAUUAUCUUUUCCAAUAUUCAGCCCAACAAGCCCAAUGUUUUUUUACCUGUUUCUUUUGUUCUCGGAGAAGAGGGGUCAGGGAAAAUUACCUGUCAAGCUUUGCAGCGAUUGCUCAAGCUCCCAACAAGCCAUUACAGCCUCCAUAGCAUGAACUCGCACAUGUUGUUGCAAUUGAUCUUUGAAGGAACAGAGUAAUAGAACAUAUUGUGUCAUAAACUGAUCAAGCUCUUUCUGGUCCACCACUUGACCGUUCCCAAGCACAGAAUACUUAGCCACCACUUCCUGCGAUUGAGCCAGCUGCGUGUCGAUCCUAGCCAGCUGGUCCACCGGCGUCGCUAUUCUCAAACAAGCGACAUGCGCUGCUAGCAACUGCUCGUAAAGCGGAUGACCCAAUAUCUCCGCUUUGCACUUCGCCCUCUCCCAAUUAUCCCCACCACCAACGCCACCAUCUAUCAACUCAUCCUCGCCACCGUUGUUAUUAUUAUUGUGGUCGCCUUUCUCGCUUUGGUUCCGACCCAAAACGUCGUCGUUAAGACGGAGAACAGCGUUGCUAAGCCACGCAGGGCCAGCAGAGGCGGAGGAAGAGGCAGACGCAGAUAGUGGUGACUGAAAAGCCAUUUCGUGUGAAAUAUGAUCUUGAAAAGCCAUUUUUGUGCCCAAGGAAGCACUUUCACCACAACAUUUGAGAAGAAAGCAACAACCCAGAAGAAGAGAAAAACAAAGGGGUAGGUUCUAUGCUGGUGAGGACAUAGGAGCAGAGCUGCUUGUGUUGGCUCUUCAAUGGAGUUUUACAGAGAGAGCCCGUGUUUUUUGGUUUUGAGAAAAG